RNAcentral lists this unclassified non-coding RNA (1938 nucleotides) under Saccharomyces cerevisiae (brewer's yeast). Lineage: Eukaryota; Fungi; Ascomycota; Saccharomycetes; Saccharomycetales; Saccharomycetaceae. The record is from RNAcentral.
UCUUCGAUAUGGUUUUAAACGAGAAGCUAUUUAAAAAUUCUGGUGAUGAGAAGUUCGCUAAAUUAUUCACAUUCUUAAAUGAAUUUGAUGCUGUCUUGUGUAAAUUUCAAGUUGUUGACUCAAUGCAUACAAAAAUUUUUAACGACACCCUGAAGUAUCUGAACGUAAUGCUAUUUAAUGACCUAAUAACCAAAUGUCCCGCGUUAAAUUGGAAGUAUGGGUACGAAGUGGAUAGAAAUAUCGAGCGGUUGGUGAGCUGGUUUGAACCAAGAAUUGAAGACGUUCGUCCCAAUUUGAUUCAAAUAAUUCAGGCUGUCAAGAUAUUACAGUUGAAGAUAAGCAACUUGAACGAGUUCAAGUUACUAUUCGAUUUCUGGUAUGCCUUGAAUCCAGCCCAAAUACAAGCAAUUCUGUUGAAAUACAAGCCUGCUAACAAGGGCGAAGCUGGAGUACCGAACGAAAUCUUGAAUUAUUUAGCUAACGUGAUCAAAAGAGAAAAUCUGUCUUUGCCAGGGAAGAUGGAAAUUAUGCUUUCUGCCCAAUUUGACUCUGCUAAAAACCAUCUGCGUUAUGACACUAGUGCAAUAACACAGAACAGCAAUACAGAGGGCUUAGCUACUGUCAGUAAAAUUAUAAAAUUAGACAGAAAAUAAGAACAAAGUAAAUAUACGCCCAUAUAUGUAUAUAUGUAUAUAUACAUAUAUCCUACACUACAUAUGGAAGCUCCCUAUAUAUAUAGCAUUGCGAGUGAACUUCUAUCGACUAAAGUGAACAGCAAUGGGGACGAUGAUUACAACAAGCAAUAUGAUGAUUACUAAAGCCAGACACAUCUUCAUUUUUAGAUCCUUGUACCACAUGGCUUUUCUGACCCUAUUGGCACCCCUCUUAAAGCCUUGGGCUGAGACCGCUAGGUUAUCGGCUUUAUCUUCAAUGGACGUUAAUCUUUCACCUCUUUCUGCUACUUUAUUUAUGUUAUCUCUCAUUAUUCCCACGGUAUCAUCAAUUUCCUAAAAAUAAACACGAAGAACGUAUAUGAAUGUAUACGCAUAAGUAUCAACGAUGUAGAAAGUUAGUAUAAUGUUAAUUUCCUAGAUGGUACUCUGUGGCUUUCUGUACUUACAGCUUGUAGUUCCGCAGUCCUUGACUUAGACUGUACAUUCUGGGGUCGUUCUUCAUCGUGCUCGGAUAGAGCAUAAGGGUCAAAGGGAGUAGAUGACGACAUGGACAAUGAAUACGUUGCGCUUGCUAUGUCUUUGGCGCAAAUUUUCAAUGUUUAACUAAUACUUUUGACGAUCUUUCUUAUAGAUGCUGUGGGAAAGACCCUUAAAAAUGUCUGUUACCCUGCAAUCAAUGGUUGAAACAGCAGGAAGACGCAUAAUAAAGGCAUAUGUUUGAAGUUUGUUAGCGAAUGAACAAUGAUAAAAGGAGUGAUUGGAAGCUGAAGGUUGAGGAUUUAGACUAGUUUUAUAUUACAACAUGGUAGAUGUGCAAAAGAGAAAAAAGUUGCUAGCCAAAGCUGCUGCCAGCGCUUCUAUUCCGGCAAUCAAAGGUUCUGUUCCGUUGGACUCGUAUGAUAUAAAAAUCAUUCAAUAUAAGAACGCUCUUUACAAGCUGAAUGAACUGAAUAGGCUACUAAACGUUCUGGUACCGCAUUUGAAGAAGAAAAGAGACAAUGACGAGUCCUACAAAAUUAUUCCCCUCGUUAAUUUCAUCUUAUCACUUUGUGAGGGUCCUAUAUUUAAUGUAAGCCCCGUAUUGGCUAAGAGGUACCAUUUGCUCUGUCGAUUCCAGCUGAUAAAGCUAAGCGAAGUGCAGCAGAGAUUAUCAACUAAUUUUAUUGAUGUAGAGGGCUGGAUGUUUCCCGAGGAGGUACCCCUAGAUCACUAUAAAUCGUGCAUAUACAAUAAUUCUCUACAAUGGAAGAUUUUAAAUUCGCUG